Molecule: unclassified non-coding RNA, 220 nt
Filed under: air metagenome
Description: partial contains small subunit ribosomal RNA, internal transcribed spacer 1, and 5.8S ribosomal RNA
Rfam family: Eukaryotic small subunit ribosomal RNA (bases 1-46)
Source: RNAcentral
AAGUCGUAACAAGGUCUCCGUUGGUGAACCAGCGGAGGGAUCAUUACAGAGUUCUCGCAACUCCCACUCACCCCUUGUGAACAUACCAUAUUGUUGCCUCGGCGGGGUACUCGCGACCCCGCCGGCGGCCCUCCAAACAAAACCUGUCUCCAGUACUUGAAUUCUGAAUUAUAACCAAACAAAUACGUUAAAACUUUCAACAACGGAUCUCUUGGUUCUG